AGUGAACGCUGGCGGUAGGCCUAACACAUGCAAGUCGAACGGCAGCACAGUAAGAGCUUGCUCUUACGGGUGGCGAGUGGCGGACGGGUGAGGAAUACAUCGGAAUCUACUUUUUCGUGGGGGAUAACGUAGGGAAACUUACGCUAAUACCGCAUACGACCUACGGGUGAUAGCAGGGGAUCUUCGGACCUUGCGCGAUUGAAUGAGCCGAUGUCGGAUUAGCUAGUUGGCGGGGUAAAGGCCCACCAAGGCGACGAUCCGUAGCUGGUCUGAGAGGAUGAUCAGCCACACUGGAACUGAGACACGGUCCAGACUCCUACGGGAGGCAGCAGUGGGGAAUAUUGGACAAUGGGCGCAAGCCUGAUCCAGCCAUACCGCGUGGGUGAAGAAGGCCUUCGGGUUGUAAAGCCCUUUUGUUGGGAAAGAAAAGCAGCAGGUUAAUACCCCGCUGUUCUGACGGUACCCAAAGAAUAAGCACCGGCCAACUUCGUG
This 492-nucleotide ribosomal RNA is filed under the name uncultured bacterium. Its description in RNAcentral is "partial 16S ribosomal RNA". It matches the Rfam family "Bacterial small subunit ribosomal RNA", at positions 29 to 507 of the family's 1533-position model. The record is from RNAcentral.